CACCCUGGAAGCACAAAGAUGUAUAAGGAUUUAAAGACUUUGUUUUGGUGGCCAUGAAUGAAAAGUGAUGUGGCAGAUUAUGUGGCUAAAUGUGAAAGGUGUCAAGUUGUUAAAGUUGAACAUCAAAAACCCAGUGGAAUGUUGCAAUCCUUACCGAUUUCAUAAUAGAAGUGGGAAGAAAUAGUCAUAAAUUUUGUUACAGGAUUUUCCAGAUCAAAACAAGGACAUAAUAGUAUAUGGGUGGUAAUUGACAAACUCACUAAGUCAGCCCAUUUUCUACCUAUCCAUCAGACUAAUUCAAUGGAGAAAUUGGCCAAAUUAUUUGUGAAAGAAAUCAUUAUAUUACAUGGAAUCCCUAAGGUUAUUGUAUCAGAUGGAGAUGGUCGUUUCACAUCUAAGUUAUGAAAAAGCACACAUGCAAGUUUUGGCACAAAAUUGAAAUUCAACACUGCAUUUCAUCCUCAGACAGAUGGUUAAUCAGAAAGGUUGAUUCAAGUGUUGGAAGAUUUGUUAAGAUUGUGUAUCCUACAUUUUGGAGGUAGCUUGGAGGAUCACAUUUUAUUAAUAGAAUUCACUUAUAAUAAUAGCUACCAAUCCAGUAUCAAGAUGGCUCCCUAUGAAGCUUUAUAUGGCAGAAAAUGCAGAACUCCUUUAAGCUGGUUUGAAGUGGGGAAAAGGCAAAUAUUAGGUCCACAGUUGGUAGACCAGGCGAUAGAGAAGGUCAGACUCAUUAGAGACAGAUUAAAAGCAACUCAAAACCGCCAACAUAAAUAUUAUUAUUCCAAGCAUAGAAUGGAAGAAUUUGAAGUGGGAGAUUUUGUAUUUUUGAAAGUUAGACCAAUGAAGUGUGUUUCUAGAUUUGGCCAAAGUGGAAAACUCAAUCCUAGAUUCAUUUGGCCAUUUGAAAUUAUUGAAAGAGUAUGAACAGUAGUUUACAAGCUAGCAUUACCUAUAGACAUGUCUGAUAUCCACAAUGUUUUUCAUGUCUCAAUGCUCAGAAAGUGGGUUACAAAUGAAAGUCAAAGAGUUUCUCAUAAGGACAUUGAACUUCAGAAGAAUAUGACCUUUAUAGAAGAACCUGAAAGGAUAUUAGAAAGGGAUAUUCGGAAAUUGAGUAGCAAAAUUAUUCCUUUUGUUAAGAUAAAAUAGAAGCACAACUCAGUUAAAAAUGCUACUUGGGAAAAAGAGGCUGUAGUGAGACACAAAUUUCCUCACCUAUUUGAUGAUGUAUGAAAAGUUGAAUUUCGGGGAUGAAAUUCUAUUAAGGAUGGAAGAAUUGUAACAACUCAAAUUCUGGUAAAAGAAAUUCAAACCCUUAUUUAAAUAAAGCUUAUGUACUAUUAAAUAAAAUCAACUGAAUAUUAAUGCAAAUAUUAAUUUUUCUGAAUAUAUGUGUUUAUUGGUGAGGAUAAAGAGAAUAGCAGUUGUUGAGUGGGGUCCACUCCAUCUUAUCAUUUAGUGCGGGAUUAUUGAAUGGGAUAAGGAUUUAAUAUCUCCCCUGUAGCAAAAUUCGGUUCUACACUCUCACCCGAGACUGUAGAGGAUUUCGCUAUUCCUGUAUAGGAAAUCCGCAGCUUUCCUUCAGGAAGAGGCGGAACAGGUUGGCUGAAGCAAGAGGCGGAAUAAGCUGGCUGAAGCAAGAGGCAAUAGACUCUGGCUGAAGCAAGAGGCGGAACUGGUUGGAGUAGGAAGCAGAAGUUGGGUUUGGAAAUAGCAACUGCGGGCUGAAGGAGUAUAAGAAAUUCAUCAUUUCAGAAUCCGUUUGAUUUCUAAGUGAGAAGGAAGUGAGAACAAUGAACGAAGAAUAAAACUUGAAGAAAAGAAAAUCAAGUGUCAUAGAUCAAUUUGAUCAUAUGCAAGAGAGAGCUUUGAAGUGACUUACCAUCAAAGAAGAUUUCAAGGUGGAGGAUUGGAGGAAAUUCCUCGUUCAAGAAAGAAAAGGAAAAGAAAAUGUGGAAGAUGUUUGAUAUGCAAGUAUUUAUGUUUUAUGUUAAUGUUUAUUUUAUAUUUGGAAAUCUACUCUUGAGGUUAGUAAGUCGUUUUAAUGGUUUUGGACUUCCUUAAUGGCUCUGUAUUAAGUAUUUGAUGUGAUGAAAUUUGGGAACUAUUAGAUGCUUCCUUUGUUGUAUUAAUUGAUGUUUAUAUUAUCUUUUAUAUAGAUUUGAAAUGAUAUGUUAUGAUUUAAUGAGUUCAAUAUUGUAAUUAUUCAUGUUAUGUUUUUUUUAAAUUGUUAAUAUUAGUUAUUAAUUAAUUUCUGCUUAACUUGCUGAGUCUCACCACUCACCAGUACUUUUCUUACUGAUUGUUUUUACAGGAAAAGGAAAAGAAAAUGUGGAAGAAGUUUGAUAUGCAAGUAUUUAAGUUUUAUAUUAAUGUUUAUUUUAUAUUUGGAAAUCUACUCUUGAGGUUAGUAAGUCGUUUUAAUGUUCUAAUAGUUUGAAUGGUUUUGGACUUCCUUAGUGGCUCUAUAUUAAGUCUUUGAUGUAAGGAAAUUUGGGAACUAUUAGAUGCUUCCUUUGUUGUAUUAAUUGAUGUUUAUAUGAUCUUUUAUAUAGAUUUGAAAUGAUAUGUUAUGAUUUUAUGGCUGUUCUUGUGACACUCUACAAUACUAUUAAGGAGUAUUGUGGGGUGUUAUAAUUUCCCUAUUCAACUGGAUCUUGAUCGAUUUUUCCCCGAUUCAAAGCCUAAGCCGUUUAUUUCAACUAACCGGACCGCCCGCCAAACCUGUUCACGGUUGAGCUGGUAGAACCAGCUGGUCCAGUCUAAUUUUGAAAACCUUGCUAAAAGAAUUAUAAAGAUUGUGUUUUGGAUUUUGGAGGUAGAUGAGAAGAUCACAUACCAUUGAAUGAGUUUACCUAUAAUAAUAGCUACCAAUCAAUUAUCAAGAUGGCACCAUAUGAAGUAUUGUAUGGUAGAAAAUGUAGAACUCCGUUGAGUUAGUUUUAAAUUGAUGAAAGGAAAUUAUUGGGUCCGCGGUUAGUAAUAUCAAGCUACUGAAAAGGUCAAAUCAGUUAGAGACAUUAAAAGCAACACAGUACCGUCAGCAGAAAUACUAUAAUCACAAGCAUAAAAUGAUAAAAUUUGAUGUUGGAGAUUUUGUGCUCUUAAAGGUUAGACCAAUGGAAUGUGUUUCUAGAUUUGGUCAAGGUGAAAAAUUCAGCUCAAGUUAUAUUAGCCUAUUUGAGAUCAUUAAAAGAGUGGGACAAGUUGCUUAUAAGCUAUCAUUACCUUCAGAUAUAUUUGAUGUGCAUAAUGUUUAUCACGUGUGAAUGCUUAGAAAAUGGGUUACAAAUGAAAUUAGAGAGUUCUUCAUAAUGAAAUUGAACUUCAAAAUAAUUCGACAUAUGUAGAGUAACCUAAAAUGAUAUUGAAAAGGGAUGUUCGAUAAAUUGAGAAGCAGAGUAAUUCCUUUUGUGAAAAUUAAAUAGAAGCAUAGGUCAAUAGAGUAAGAUACAUGAGAAAAAAGAUAGACAUGAAUCAGAAGUUUCCUUACCAGUUUGAAGAAGUAUGAAAAUUUGAAUUUUGGGAACGAAAUUUUAAUGAGGGAAGAAUUAUAA
This is a long non-coding RNA of Dendrobium catenatum, 3557 nucleotides long. RefSeq lists it as uncharacterized. The transcript is spliced from 4 exons. NCBI's taxonomy places the organism in Eukaryota, Viridiplantae, Streptophyta, Magnoliopsida, Asparagales, Orchidaceae. The record is from RefSeq and is a predicted model, not a curated record.